GAUGAACGCUGGCGGCGUGCUUAACACAUGCAAGUCGAACGGAGUGUAAACGCUGAAGCGAUUUCGGUCAAUUCUUGUUUAUACUUAGUGGCGGACGGGUGAGUAACGCGUGGGUAACCUGCCGUAUGCAGGGGGACAACAGUUGGAAACGACUGCUAAUACCGCAUAAGCGCACAGAUAGGCAUCUAUCAGUGUGAAAAGAAUUUCGGCAUACGAUGGACCCGCGUCUGAUUAGCUAGUUGGUGAGGUAACGGCCCACCAAGGCGACGAUCAGUAGCCGCCCUGAGAGGGUGAACGGCCACAUUGGGACUGAGACACGGCCCAAACUCCUACGGGAGGCAGCAGUGGGGAAUAUUGGACAAUGGGGGAAACCCUGAUCCAGCGACGCCGCGUGAGUGAAGAAGUAUUUCGGUAUGUAAACGCUCUCAUCAGCAAGGAAGAAAAUGACGUAC
Molecule: ribosomal RNA, 452 nt
Filed under: bacterium MC2012
Lineage: Bacteria
Description: bacterial SSU rRNA
Rfam family: Bacterial small subunit ribosomal RNA
Source: RNAcentral